CAGGUCCCUACUUCGGCUUACUCGAUCGAUCUGUGACGCUUAUCCAUCCGCUCUGCAAGACUGCAACGAGAGAGAGGAGAGAAAGAGAGAGGCAGAAUGUAUGCACCAAUUGGGUAUCAAGAGAUGUCAUAUUUCGACCACGUCCAAAGACGCCAUGAGGAGAAGGGCUGUCUCUACGCUAGUUUGUUCGCACUGUGUUGCUGCUUCUGCUGCUUUGAGACUUGCGAGUGCUGCUUGGACAUUCUCUGUUGCUGCUGUCCUUAGGGCUUAAGCCCCUUCCAACCUCCUGGAACAUUAGUUUGAAAUGGGGGUUCAUACCUCCAUCCUCAUCCCUGCAGCAUCCUAACAUUUUCCUUUUUUACACCUCUUUUUUUAUUCUUUUCGUGUUUUAUUCUUUAGGGGUAUUAAGACUGUAAAAAUUAAUCAGAAGAGGAAAAGAAAUUUGAGAUAUGGUGUGAGUCGUGUUGCAGGAACCCUUUUGUGUACUGAUCCACCUAAAAAACCUAUCUCACAAAUAAAAUUGCGGAUUCCUUAUCAUCAA
Nelumbo nucifera (sacred lotus) is the source of this 541-nucleotide RNA transcript. RefSeq lists it as uncharacterized. The record is from RefSeq and is a predicted model, not a curated record. NCBI's taxonomy places the organism in Eukaryota, Viridiplantae, Streptophyta, Magnoliopsida, Proteales, Nelumbonaceae.